Molecule: ribosomal RNA, 535 nt
Filed under: uncultured bacterium
Lineage: Bacteria
Description: bacterial SSU rRNA
Rfam family: Bacterial small subunit ribosomal RNA
Source: RNAcentral
AAUAGAUACCCCGGUAGUCCACGCCGUAAACGAUGGAUACUAGCUGUUCGGCGUAAGCUGAGUGGCUAAGCGAAAGUGAUAAGUAUCCCACCUGGGGAGUACGAACGCAAGUUUGAAACUCAAAGGAAUUGACGGGGGCCCGCACAAGCGGUGGAGCAUGUGGUUUAAUUCGAUGAUACGCGAGGAACCUUACCAGGGCUUAAAUGUAGAUUGACAGGUUUAGAGAUAGACUUUUCUUCGGACAAUUUACAAGGUGCUGCAUGGUUGUCGUCAGCUCGUGCCGUGAGGUGUCAGGUUAAGUCCUAUAACGAGCGCAACCCCUGUUGUUAGUUGCCAGCGAGUCAAGUCGGGAACUCUAACAAGACUGCCAGUGCAAACUGUGAGGAAGGUGGGGAUGACGUCAAAUCAUCACGGCCCUUACGUCCUGGGCUACACACGUGCUACAAUGGUAGGGACAGAGAGCAGCCACUUCGCGAGAAGGAGCGAAUCUAUAAACCCCUAUCACAGUUCGGAUCGGAGUCUGCAACUCGACUCC